Non-coding RNA from Acanthosepion pharaonis, 113 nucleotides. NCBI's taxonomy places the organism in Eukaryota, Metazoa, Mollusca, Cephalopoda, Sepiida, Sepiidae. The record is from the annotation of a GenBank genome assembly.
GACGUCCACAACACGUUGAAACACCAGUUCCUGUACGAUCACCGAAGUUAAGCAAAGUUGAGUCUGGACAGUACCUAGGUGAGUGGACGCUCGGGAAUAACAGAUAUCGUAAG